Molecule: non-coding RNA, 45 nt
Filed under: Schistosoma mansoni
Lineage: Eukaryota; Metazoa; Platyhelminthes; Trematoda; Strigeidida; Schistosomatidae
Source: RNAcentral
CGAUUCUGAGGAGUCCAAUAAUAGGAUGAAACGGCCGUCAAGUGU